ACGCUCGACACCUACGGGAAGCAGCAGUGGGGAAUAUUGCACAAUGGGGGAAACCCUGAUGCAGCGACGCCGCGUGAGCGAAGAAGUAUUUCGGUAUGUAAAGCUCUAUCAGCAGGGAAGAAACUGACGGUACCUGACUAAGAAGCACCGGCUAAAUACGUGCCAGCNGCGAGUAUNGNGCGGNNGNAG
RNAcentral lists this ribosomal RNA (189 nucleotides) under uncultured bacterium. RNAcentral's name for it is "partial 16S ribosomal RNA". It matches the Rfam family "Bacterial small subunit ribosomal RNA", at positions 326 to 540 of the family's 1533-position model. The record is from RNAcentral.